GAUGAACGCUGGCGGCGUGCCUAAUACAUGCAAGUCGAGCGAACAGACGAGGAGCUUGCUCCUCUGACGUUUGCGGCGGACGGGUGAGUAACACGUGGAUAACCUACCUAUAAGACUGGGAUAACUUCGGGAAACCGGAGCUAAUACCGGAUAAUAUAUUGAACCGCAUGGUUCAAUAGUGAAAGACGGUUUUGCUGUCACUUAUAGAUGGAUCCGCGCCGCAUUAGCUAGUUGGUAAGGUAACGGCUUACCAAGGCAACGAUGCGUAGCCGACCUGAGAGGGUGAUCGGCCACACUGGAACUGAGACACGGUCCAGACUCCUACGGGAGGCAGCAGUAGGGAAUCUUCCGCAAAGGGCGAAAGCCUGACGGAGCAACGCCGCGUGGGUGAUGAAGGUCUUCGGAUCGUAAAACUCUGUUAUUAGGGAAGAACAAAUGUGUAAGUAACUAUGCACGUCUUGACGGUACCUAAUCAGAAAGCCACGGCUAACUACGUG
RNAcentral lists this ribosomal RNA (497 nucleotides) under uncultured bacterium. RNAcentral describes it as "partial 16S ribosomal RNA". It matches the Rfam family "Bacterial small subunit ribosomal RNA", at positions 28 to 507 of the family's 1533-position model. The record is from RNAcentral.